Molecule: ribosomal RNA, 207 nt
Filed under: uncultured bacterium
Lineage: Bacteria
Description: partial 16S ribosomal RNA
Rfam family: Bacterial small subunit ribosomal RNA
Source: RNAcentral
AGCGUAGACGGAUGGACAAGUCUGAUGUGAAAGGCUGGGGCUCAACCCCGGGACUGCAUUGGAAACUGCCCGUCUUGAGUGCCGGAGAGGUAAGCGGAAUUCCUAGUGUAGCGGCGAAAUGCGUAGAUAUUAGGAGGAACACCAGUGGCGAAGGCGGCUUACUGGACGGUAACUGACGUUGAGGCUCGAAAGCGUGGGGAGCAAACA